This is a non-coding RNA of Labrus bergylta (ballan wrasse), 296 nucleotides long. The record is from RefSeq and is a predicted model, not a curated record. NCBI's taxonomy places the organism in Eukaryota, Metazoa, Chordata, Actinopteri, Labriformes, Labridae.
UUUGAACUAGGGCCUGUUACUGGAGCAGACUCAUGACAGACAGCUGGAGAAAGAUGCAACACUACAGAAGCUCAUACUGCUGAAUGAUCAGAGGAUCUGAAGGGCCUCCAGGACACGGUUCCCAGACCGAGACCUUCAAAAUGUGGACUCUGAUUGGCCUGUUUUUGUUAACGAUGCUGAGGUUACCAAAGCAACAGAUCACAAAAGUUCAAAUGGACUCAGGAGAAGAUCGAGAAACAUCCAACGCAAGCAGACGAAAUCAUUUGAAUGAUCACCUGUCUGUCCAUGUAGCUUUG